RNAcentral lists this ribosomal RNA (534 nucleotides) under Dujonia zeylanoides. RNAcentral describes it as "eukaryotic LSU rRNA". It matches the Rfam family "Eukaryotic large subunit ribosomal RNA", at positions 86 to 636 of the family's 3401-position model. Lineage: Eukaryota; Fungi; Ascomycota; Pichiomycetes; Serinales; Debaryomycetaceae. The record is from RNAcentral.
ACGGCGAGUGAAGCGGCAAAAGCUCAAAUUUGAAAUCUAGCACUUUCAGUGUUCGAGUUGUAAUUUGAAGAAGGUAACUUUGGUUUUGGCUCUUGUCUAUGUUCCUUGGAACAGGACGUCACAGAGGGUGAGAAUCCCGUGCGAUGAGAUGCCCAAUUCCAUGUAAAGUGCUUUCGAAGAGUCGAGUUGUUUGGGAAUGCAGCUCUAAGUGGGUGGUAAAUUCCAUCUAAAGCUAAAUAUUGGCGAGAGACCGAUAGCGAACAAGUACAGUGAUGGAAAGAUGAAAAGAACUUUGAAAAGAGAGUGAAAAAGUACGUGAAAUUGUUGAAAGGGAAGGGCUUGAGAUCAGACUUGGUAUUUUGCGUUCCCUUCCUUUUUGGUUGGGUUCCUCGCAGUUUACUGGGCCAGCAUCGGUUUGGAUGGUAGGAUAAUGACAUUGGAAUGUAGCUUUACUUCGGUGAAGUGUUAUAGACUUUGUUGAUACUGCCUAUCUAGACCGAGGACUGCGUCUUUGACUAGGAUGCUGGCGUAAUG